GCUCAUUAAAUCAGUUAUGAUCUACGUGACAAAUUCUUUACUACUUGGAUAACCGUGGUAAUUCUAGAGCUAAUACAUGCAAAAAAGCCCUGACUCACGAAGGGGUGCACUUAUUAGAUAAAACCAACGCGGGGUAAAACCUGUUUCGUGGUGAAUCAUAAUAAUUAAGCGGAUCGCAUGGCCUUGAGCCGGCGACGGUCCACUCGAUUUUCUGCCCUAUCAUGGUUGAGAUUGUAAGAUAGAGGCUUACAAUGCCUAUAACGGGUAACGGGGAAUUAGGGUUCGAUUCCGGAGAGGGAGCCUGAGAAACGGCUACCACAUCCAAGGAAGGCAGCAGGCGCGCAAAUUACCCAAUCCCGACACGGGGAGGUAGUGACAAUACAUAACAAUGCAGGGCCUUUACGGUCUUGCAAUUGGAAUGAGUACAAUUUAAAUCCCUUAACGAGGAUCAAUUGGAGGGCAAGUCUGGUGCCAGCAGCCGCGGUAAUUCCAGCUCCAAUAGCGUAUAUUAAAGUUGUUGCAGUUAAAACGUCCGUAGUCAAACUUUAGUCUUACCGGCGCGGUGGCCUGGUCUUCAUUGAUCAAGCUCGCUGUCGCUGGAGACUCCACGUCCGCUGGCUCCUAGUCCUCGUGGCUAGGGUUUUGUGGACAAUUACCAUGAGCAAAUCAGAGUGUUUAAAGCAGGCUUUUAAGCUUGAAUGUGUUAGCAUGGAAUAAUGAAAUAUGACUUUAGUCCUAUUUUCGUUGGUUUAGGUACUAUAGUAAUGAUUAAUAGAAACGGUUGGGGGCAUUUGUAUUUGGCCGCUAGAGGUGAAAUUCUUGGAUUGGCCGAAGACAAACUACUGCGAAAGCAUUUGACCCAGGACGUUUUCAUUGAUCAAGGUCUAAAGUUAAGGGAUCGAAGACGAUUAGAUACCGUCGUAGUCUUAACCACAAACUAUGCCGACUAGAGAUUGGGCGUGUUUCUUUUGACUCGCUCAGCAUCUUAGCGAAAGUAAAGUUUUUGGGUUCUGGGGGGAGUAUGGGACGCAAGGCU
Molecule: ribosomal RNA, 1036 nt
Filed under: Rhizopus microsporus var. microsporus
Lineage: Eukaryota; Fungi; Mucoromycota; Mucoromycetes; Mucorales; Rhizopodaceae
Also listed under: 1 other name
Description: SSU rRNA
Rfam family: Eukaryotic small subunit ribosomal RNA
Source: RNAcentral